Molecule: ribosomal RNA, 779 nt
Filed under: uncultured Neocallimastigales
Lineage: Eukaryota; Fungi; Neocallimastigomycota; Neocallimastigomycetes; Neocallimastigales
Description: partial large subunit ribosomal RNA
Rfam family: Eukaryotic large subunit ribosomal RNA
Source: RNAcentral
AAGAGAGAGACAUGCGCGCAUAUCAAUAAGCGGAGGAAAAGAAACUAACAAGGAUUCCCUUAGUAACGGCGAGUGAAGCGGGAUGAGCUCAAAUUUGAAAUCUUCAAGGUUCUACCUUGACGAAUUGUAGUUUAUAGAAGUGUUUUCUGUUAGUGGAGUGGCAAAAGUUCUUUGGAAUAGGACAUCAUAGAGAGUGAGAAUCCCGUAUUUGGUCAUUCCUCCUAGCGUUGUGAUACACUUUCAACGAGUCGGAUUGUUUGGGAAUGCAGUCCAAAAUGGGUGGUAAAUUUCAUCUAAAGCUAAAUAUUGGCGAGAGACCGAUAGCGAACAAGUACCGUGAGGGAAAGAUGAAAAGAACCUUGAAAAGAGAGUUAAACAGUACGUGAAAUUGUCAAAAGGGAAGCGUUUGACACCAGUGUUGUUUUUCCGAAAAUCAAUUACGAAUGUUUUGUUUUUGAGGAGUUAUGACUUCAUCGGCUUGCUUCUUUCUUUACGAAACUUUCUUAAUGCACUUUUCGGUUAACAAGUCAACAUCAAUUUCUUUUGUUGUAAAAGGGUAUGAGGAAGGUGGCUUUCUUUUCGGAGAAAGUGUUUAUAGCCUUGUAGCCUCUGCAAUCGGAGAGAUUGAGGUCUGCAGCGUAGAUCCUUCGGGGUUAGAUACAUUUGUGCUAAGUUACUAGUCUUUUCAUAGACAACUUGUUGACUAUGAUUGAGUCUUGUAGCUUACUCGCUUAUGCUAUUUUACCUACGCUUAGGAUGUUGAUCUGUAGUGCGUGCGC